UGCUGGGGAUCCUCAGGGACUUCCGGGGCACCCUGUCCAUCAAGGACCUCAGCCAGAUGACCAGCAUCACGCAGACCGACAUCAUCAGCACGCUGCAGUCGCUCAACAUGGUCAAGUACUGGAAGGGCCAGCACGUCAUCUGCGUCACGCCCAAGCUGGUGGAGGAGCACCUCAAGAGCGCCCAGUACAAGAAACCGCCCAUCACCGUGGAUUCCAUCUGCCUGCGCUGGGCGCCCCCGAAGCACAAACAGGCCAAGGUGGCCAAGAAGUGAAAUUCCCAAUUUUUCCCAAUUUUGGGCGUUUUUACCCCAAAUUUUGGGAUUUUUUUUCCCUCCAGUUUUGGGGUUUUUCCCAAAUUUUUGGGUUUUUCCCAAAUUUUUGGGUUUUUCCCGGAAAUUUUGGGGUUUUUUCCACCAAAUUUUUGGAGUUUUCCCCUUUAAAUUUUGGG
This is a long non-coding RNA of Zonotrichia leucophrys gambelii, 448 nucleotides long. RefSeq lists it as uncharacterized. The transcript is spliced from 3 exons. Lineage: Eukaryota; Metazoa; Chordata; Aves; Passeriformes; Passerellidae. The record is from RefSeq and is a predicted model, not a curated record.